Molecule: ribosomal RNA, 458 nt
Filed under: uncultured bacterium
Lineage: Bacteria
Description: partial 16S ribosomal RNA
Rfam family: Bacterial small subunit ribosomal RNA
Source: RNAcentral
CCUACGGGCGGCAACAGUGAGGAAUAUUGGUCAAUGGGCGAGAGCCUGAACCAGCCAAGUCGCGUGAGGGAGUACUGCCCUAUGGGUUGUAAACCUCUUUUGUCGGGGAGCAAAAGCCGGACGUUUCCGGCUGUGAGAGUACCCGAAGAAAAAGCAUCGGCUAACUCCGUGCCAGCAGCCGCGGUAAUACGGAGGAUGCGAGCGUUAUCCGGAUUUAUUGGGGUUAAAGGGUGCGCAGGCGGAUUUUUAAGUCAGCGGUCAAAUCGUGGGGCUCAACCCCAUCCAGCCGUUGAAACUGGGGAUCUAGAGUGUGCGAGAGGUAUGCGGAAUGCGUGGUGUAGCGGUGAAAUGCAUAGAUAUCACGCAGAACCCCGAUUGCGAAGGCAGCAUACCGGUGCACAACUGACGCUCAGGCACGAAAGCGUGGGUAUCGAACAGGAUUAGAUACCCGUGUAGUC